AGCGAACGCUGGCGGCAGGCCUAACACAUGCAAGUCGAACGAACCUUUCGGGGUUAGUGGCGGACGGGUGAGUAACACGUGGGAACGUGCCUUUAGGUUCGGAAUAACUCAGGGAAACUUGUGCUAAUACCGAAUGUGCCCUUCGGGGGAAAGAUUAAUCGCCUUUAGAGCGGCCCGCGUCUGAUUAGCUAGUUGGUUGAGGUAAUGGCUCACCAAGGCGACGAUCAGUAGCUGGUCUGAGAGGAUGAGCAGCCACAUUGGGACUGAGACACGGCCCAAACUCCUACGGGAGGCAGCAGUGGGGAAUCUUGCGCAAUGGGCGAAAGCCUGACGCAGCCAUGCCGCGUGAAUGAUGAAGGUCUUAGGAUUGUAAAAUUCUUUCACCGGGGACGAUAAUGACGGUACCCGGAGAAGAAGCCCCGGCUAACUUCGUG
This 434-nucleotide ribosomal RNA is filed under the name uncultured bacterium. Its description in RNAcentral is "partial 16S ribosomal RNA". It matches the Rfam family "Bacterial small subunit ribosomal RNA", at positions 29 to 507 of the family's 1533-position model. The record is from RNAcentral.